This 244-nucleotide ribosomal RNA is filed under the name uncultured bacterium. RNAcentral's name for it is "partial small subunit ribosomal RNA". It matches the Rfam family "Bacterial small subunit ribosomal RNA", at positions 26 to 285 of the family's 1533-position model. The record is from RNAcentral.
AGAAUCAACGCUGGCGGCGUGCCUAACACAUGCAAGUCGUACGAGAAAGGGGAGCAAUCCCUGAGUAAAGUGGCGACCGGGUGAGUAACACGUGACUAACCUACCCUCGAGUGGGGAAUAACUCCGGGAAACCGGAGCUAAUACCGCAUAACAUCGCAAGAUCAAAGCAGCAAUGCGCUUGAGGAGGGGUCGCGGCUGAUUAGCUAGUUGGCGGGGUAACGGCCCACCAAGGCGAAGAUCGGUA